Long non-coding RNA from Cervus elaphus (red deer), 194 nucleotides. RefSeq lists it as uncharacterized. NCBI's taxonomy places the organism in Eukaryota, Metazoa, Chordata, Mammalia, Artiodactyla, Cervidae. The record is from RefSeq and is a predicted model, not a curated record. The transcript is spliced from 2 exons.
ACACUGGGCGGCACUCUGCCCUCGGGACCCAAGAGCCUCAAGAUCAAGGGCCAAGCCUCCCCUCACGAUGGUUCAAGAGGACUGAAGCGGCCCUCUCCAGCCAGCCCGCCUGUCACAGAUAACCAUCACGGGGCUGGAGCCAAGGGUGCAACUGGAUGUGGCAGGUCAAGCUACGACAUGCAGCGCCAGUUCAA